GGCCUGAGCCACUAAGUCAGACUGUGUGAAUCUUUUUAAAAGAAAUAAAGAAUACUGAAUUCCUUCUCCACUCUCACUGCUUCACUUCCCUGGCCUAAU
Molecule: small RNA, 99 nt
Filed under: Otolemur garnettii (small-eared galago)
Lineage: Eukaryota; Metazoa; Chordata; Mammalia; Primates; Galagidae
Description: Y RNA (ENSOGAG00000023558.1)
Source: RNAcentral